This 639-nucleotide ribosomal RNA is filed under the name uncultured eukaryote. RNAcentral describes it as "SSU rRNA". It matches the Rfam family "Eukaryotic small subunit ribosomal RNA", at positions 601 to 1235 of the family's 1831-position model. The record is from RNAcentral.
GUACGUAAGUUGUUGCAGUUAAAAAGCUCGUAGUUGGAUCUCAGGCUCGUGGCCGGUGGUCCGCUCGAUAAGGGUGUGCACUGCCGUGUCCGGCCUACGUCUGGAUAACGUCUAUAGUGCCCUUAACCGGGUGCUAUAGAAUGCCAGAAAGUUUACUCUGAAAAAAUUAGAGUGCUCAAAGCAAGCCGUUUGUGCUUGAAUACUGUUGCAUGGAAUAAUGGAAUAGGACCUCGGUUCUAUUUUGUUGGUUUUCGGAGUCGAGGUAAUGAUUAAGAGGGACAGACGGGGGCAUUCGUAUUGCGCCGUUAGAGGUGAAAUUCUUGGAUCGGCGCAAGACGAACAACUGCGAAAGCAUUUGCCAAGGAUGUUUUCAUUAAUCAAGAACGAAAGUCAGAGGUUCGAAGACGAUCAGAUACCGUCGUAGUUCUGACCAUAAACGAUGCCAACUGGCGAUCCGCCGCAGUCUGGCUUAAAGGACUCGGCGGGCAGCCUCCGGGAAACCUAAGUCUAUGGGUUCCGGGGGAAGUAUGGUUGCAAAGCUGAAACUUAAAGGAAUUGACGGAAGGGCACCACCAGGAGUGGAGCCUGCGGCUUAAUUUGACUCAACACGGGGAAAACUCACCCGGCCAGGACACCGUA